AUGAACGCUGACAGAAUGCUUAACCCAUGCAAGUCUCCUUGAAUUUGGGUUUUUUAACUUAGAUUUGGGUGGCGGACGGGUGAGUAACGCGUAAAGAACUUGCCUCACAGUUAGGGACAACAUUUGGAAACGAAUGCUAAUACCUGAUAUUAUGAAUAUAUGGCAUCAUAUAAUUAUGAAAGCUAUAAGCGCUGUGAGAGAGCUUUGCGUCCCAUUAGCUAGUUGGAGAGGUAACGGCUCACCAAGGCGAUGAUGGGUAGCCGGCCUGAGAGGGUGAACGGCCACAAGGGGACUGAGACACGGCCCUUACUCCUACGGGAGGCAGCAGUGGGGAAUAUUGGACAAUGGACCAAGAGUCUGAUCCAGCAAUUCUGUGUGCACGAUGACGUUUUUCGGAAUGUAAAGUGCUUUCAGUUGGGAAGAAAAAAAUGACGGUACCAACAGAAGAAGUGACGGCUAAAUACGUG
This 467-nucleotide ribosomal RNA is filed under the name uncultured bacterium. Its description in RNAcentral is "partial 16S ribosomal RNA". It matches the Rfam family "Bacterial small subunit ribosomal RNA", at positions 29 to 507 of the family's 1533-position model. The record is from RNAcentral.